Molecule: ribosomal RNA, 253 nt
Filed under: uncultured bacterium
Lineage: Bacteria
Description: partial 16S ribosomal RNA
Rfam family: Bacterial small subunit ribosomal RNA
Source: RNAcentral
UACGUAGGGUGCGAGCGUUGUCCGGAAUUAUUGGGCGUAAAGAGCUCGUAGGCGGUCUGUUGCGUUGUUCGUGAAAACUCACAGCUUAACUGUGGGCGUGCGGGCGAUACGGGCAGACUGGAGUACUGCAGGGGAGACUGGAAUUCCUGGUGUAGCGGUGGAAUGCGCAGAUAUCAGGAGGAACACCGGUGGCGAAGGCGGGUCUCUGGGCAGUAACUGACGCUGAGGAGCGAAAGCGUGGGGAGCGAACAGG